This is a long non-coding RNA of Arachis ipaensis, 421 nucleotides long. RefSeq lists it as uncharacterized. The record is from RefSeq and is a predicted model, not a curated record. Lineage: Eukaryota; Viridiplantae; Streptophyta; Magnoliopsida; Fabales; Fabaceae.
AAAUAAUACAAUUAUUGAUUAAAAACAAACAAAACAAUAUGCUGAAAGUACAACCACAAAGUAAUUCUUGUUUUUUUAACCAGUAAAAUCCUAAUCUUUGUUGCAAAUUACACAACCAUGGCCAAAAUUUUCACACGAACAACGGAAACAUGAUUAUUCAUUGGAACUUCACUAUUUAUCAUUGUUCAAUCGGCAUGAAGAACGUAAUGAAGCAGCCAUUUAAGAACAUGGUAAACAGGAAAAUAGUAACAGAGCUUACAGCCCAAUAAUGGCGAUUUGCAAUGUCCCAGCCGCCUCGGUAGCGACAAAAUCGUCGUAGAAUGUCCGGCCUAUCCGUCCUGUUUGCGGCCAGCACAAGGGUACCUGAAGGAGCAUCCGUUUCAGGAGCUGGUGCUAGAGCCUCUUGUGUGAUCUUAUUCUU